RNAcentral lists this ribosomal RNA (433 nucleotides) under uncultured bacterium. Its description in RNAcentral is "partial 16S ribosomal RNA". It matches the Rfam family "Bacterial small subunit ribosomal RNA", at positions 29 to 507 of the family's 1533-position model. The record is from RNAcentral.
AACGAACGCUGGCGGCAGGCCUAACACAUGCAAGUCGAGCGAGGACUUCGGUCCUAGCGGCGGACGGGUGAGUAACGCGUGGGAACGUGCCCUUUGCUUCGGAAUAGCCCUGGGAAACUGGGAGUAAUACCGGAUGAGCCCUUUGGGGGAAAGAUUUAUCGGCGAAGGAUCGGCCCGCGUUGGAUUAGGUAGUUGGUAGGGUUAUGGGCUACCAAGCCGACGAUCCAUAGGUGGGUUGUGAGGGACGUCAGCCACACCGGGACUGAGAACACGCCCAGACUCCUACGGAAGGGAGGAAUGGGGGAUGUUGAAAAGACGGGGGAAUCCUGAACGUGCCAGGCCCGCGAAGCUAUGAAAGCCUGAAGGUUGUAAAGCCCAUUCAGCUGGGAAGAUAAUGACGGUACCAGCAGAAGAAGCCCCGGCUAACUCCGUG